GACGAACGCUGGCGGCGUGCUUAACACAUGCAAGUCGAACGGAAAGGCCCUGCUUGCAGGGUACUCGAGUGGCGAACGGGUGAGUAACACGUGGGUGAUCUGCCCUGCACUUCGGGAUAAGCCUGGGAAACUGGGUCUAAUACCGGAUAGGAGCCAUUUUUAGUGUGAUGGUUGGAAAGUUUUUUCGGUGUAGGAUGAGCUCGCGGCCUAUCAGCUUGUUGGUGGGGUAAUGGCCUACCAAGGCGGCGACGGGUAGCCGGCCUGCGAGGGUGGACGGCCACAUUGGGGCUGAGAUACGGCCCAGACGCCUACGGGAGGCAGCAGUGGGGAAUAUUGCACAAUGGGCGCAAGCCUGAUGCAGCGACGCCGCGUGGGGGAUGACGGCCUUCGGGUUGUAAACUCCUUUCGCUAGGGACGAAGCUUUUUGUGACGGUACCUAGAGAAGAAGCACCGGCUAACUACGUG
RNAcentral lists this ribosomal RNA (465 nucleotides) under uncultured bacterium. RNAcentral describes it as "partial 16S ribosomal RNA". It matches the Rfam family "Bacterial small subunit ribosomal RNA", at positions 28 to 507 of the family's 1533-position model. The record is from RNAcentral.